GAUGAAGAACGUAGCGAAACGCGAUAAGUAAUGUGAAUUGCAGAAUUCAGUGAAUCAUCGAAUCUUUGAACGCACAUUGCGCCCGCCAGUAUUCUGGCGGGCAUGCCUGUUCGAGCGUCAUUACAACCCUCAGGCCCCCGGGCCUGGCGUUGGGGAUCGGCGGAGCCCCCCGUGGGCACACGCCGUCCCCCAAAUGCAGUGGCGGUCCCGCCGCAGCUUCCAUCGCGUAGUAGCUAACACCUCGCGACUGGAGAGCGGCGCGGCCACGCCGUAAAACACCCAACUCUUCUGAAGUUGACCUCGAAUCAGGUAGGAAUACCCGCUGAACUUAAGCAUAUCAAUAAGCGGAGGA
This 352-nucleotide unclassified non-coding RNA is filed under the name soil metagenome. RNAcentral's name for it is "partial contains 5.8S ribosomal RNA, internal transcribed spacer 2, and large subunit ribosomal RNA". The stretch from base 1 to 120 matches the Rfam family "5.8S ribosomal RNA", at positions 35 to 154 of the family's 154-position model. The record is from RNAcentral.